This 83-nucleotide transfer RNA is filed under the name Anaerolineae bacterium CFX9. RNAcentral's name for it is "tRNA-Leu". It matches the Rfam family "tRNA". From Rfam's summary of the family: Transfer RNA (tRNA) molecules are approximately 80 nucleotides in length. Their secondary structure includes four short double-helical elements and three loops (D, anti-codon, and T loops). The record is from RNAcentral. Lineage: Bacteria; Bacillati; Chloroflexota; Anaerolineae.
GGGGUUGUGAUGAAAUGGCAGCCAUGGGAGUCUUAAAAACUCCUGCGCGCAAGCGCGUGUGGGUUCGAAUCCCACCAGCCCCA